ACCUACGGGGGGCAGCAGUGGGGGAUAUUGCACAAUGGGGGGAACCCUGAUGCAGCAAUGCCGCGUGGGUGAAGAAGCACUCCGGUGCGUAAAGCCCUGUCAGCAGGGAAGAAAAUGACAGUACCUGACCAAGAAGCCCCGGCUAACUACGUGCCAGCAGCCACGGUAAUACGUAGGGGGCAAGCGUUAUCCGGAUUUACUGGGUGUAAAGGGAGCGUAGACGGCGGCGCAAGCCAGAUGUGAAAGCCCGGGGCUCAACCCCGGGACUGCAUUUGGAACUGUGCCGCUAGAGUGUCGGAGAGGCG
Molecule: ribosomal RNA, 305 nt
Filed under: uncultured bacterium
Lineage: Bacteria
Description: bacterial SSU rRNA
Rfam family: Bacterial small subunit ribosomal RNA
Source: RNAcentral